AUAAUAUUUACAAGUUUCUCUUGUAAUAGCACCAAUAAUUUGUAAUGUGCCAAAUGUUAUACAUGAAAUUUGGGUUGAAGAAAUAUGACAAAACAGUGCAAGACAUAGUUGCAAAAAAAAAAAAAAAAGAAAAGAAAAGGAAAAAAAAAACAAAACAAAACAAAAAAAUCAACCAAGUUCUCCUGAGUCUGCCGAGUCUCAGUAGCUAUCAGCCAAAUGGUUUGGUCUCUUAUGUGCUUUUUUCAUGAGUGCUUUUGCAGUUUAACUUCAUAUUUAAGGAAAAUCCCCAGUGCUGAACAAACACCUACAGUGUUUUCAUAACUGCACCUGGAUACAAAUUAACACUGAUUCUUCAUUCAAUACUGGGGAUUUUUCUAUGCAGUUUGUUUUGUUUUGUAAUGAACCUGUGUCUCAGCAAGAAGCAGUGAGGUAAUCUGAUUCCUGCUUUUUUUCUCCUGAACUCCCCUUAAGCCUUUUUAGGGUUUUUUUGGAUUUGACAAACAGUAGCUCUGACCAUUAUGCUCUCUGUUACUGGUCCCAAUUCUUUUAAGAUCCCAAAAUGCUUUCUUAAGACUUGAGCAGCUUUUAGGGCUAAAAUAUAGUUAAAAACGUUACAACAGUUGCCUCAGAUUAGUAGUGAAAGGGCUGAACAGAACGUUUAUUUGCAACACUGUAGAGAUAGUUGCAAUGUCACGAUGGUUUGUUGCAAGCUGUUAACAUUAUCAUGACUGCUUACGAUUUAUUUACUUUGUCGAGAAAUGGUAUACAAAAAAUGUGUGAAUUCUAGGCUGUCCUCAAUGGUUAUCAUUCAAAGAGUGAAUUUCAUUUGUCCUUAUUUUAAGCAACACUAUUUUUAUGAGGAGUCUUCAGAGGUUACAACAAUAAAACAUUUGGUUUGUAUUUCUCUAAAGAUAACUCUUUGCUCUUGCCUUUUUUCCCCACUUUUGUGCUCAGCGGUAGAAGUUUGAGAAUUGUAAUGGAAGCAGUAAAGACUAACCCCUCUCUGUCAGAUGUUAUUUUUGGGAAUGUGCCAGGUUUGCUUCUGCAGGUCCAGUGCACAGAAUUUUCAUGGCACAUUUUGCUGAUCCUUCUUCUGUGGCAAAACGGCUUGCUGGGAAGAUUCUAAUAUUUGCCAUAUCGGCGAUAGCAUAUGGUCCCAACUAAUAAGACUGAAUACUAUGUUCAUGACACAAAGGUGCAGCACUGACCUAUUGAAAAAUGUAGUCUGCUUUUCUGACAAAUACAAUGCGAUAGGCAGACAUUUGCUAGGAUCCUAUUUUCCCUGUCAUUAUGGCACUUAGAGCUCAGGUAACACAACUCCAUUUGAAGCACUGGACUAAUAAGGUUAAGUGUGGCUUUUAAUAUCAUCCAUUAUUGAUCUUGUUAACCUGUGCACAUAGAAAAUUAGGUAUGGGGUGCAUGUGUGUGUUACAUCAAGAAAGUGUAUGUGAAUUACAUUCAGUGCCGUUUUAUGACUCCCUUUUACAGUGUAGUCUUGUAAACUCAACGAUGCAUAUACUUUUUUUCAACAGCAAAACUUAUAUUUCUCUAGAACAUUGAAUGCCUCCUUGGGCUAUUUUUUUUUGUUUGUUUGUUUGUUUGUUU
Ictalurus punctatus (channel catfish) is the source of this 1605-nucleotide long non-coding RNA. Lineage: Eukaryota; Metazoa; Chordata; Actinopteri; Siluriformes; Ictaluridae. The record is from Ensembl.